Molecule: non-coding RNA, 151 nt
Filed under: uncultured Ruminococcus sp.
Lineage: Bacteria; Bacillati; Bacillota; Clostridia; Eubacteriales; Oscillospiraceae
Source: RNAcentral
AUAUAACAGAGUUAAAAGGGAAACAGGUCAGAAUCCUGUGCGAACCCGUCACUGUAUCUGAGGAGUGCGGAGCUAUUAUGUCACUGACUUUUCUGUCGGGAAGGCUGUUCCGUGUGUUGAUUCACAAGUCAGGAAACCUGCCGUUUAUGAA